AGCGAACGCUGGCGGCAGGCCUAACACAUGCAAGUCGAACGAACUCUUCGGAGUUAGUGGCGGACGGGUGAGUAACACGUGGGAACGUGCCUUUAGGUUCGGAAUAACUCAGGGAAACUUGUGCUAAUACCGAAUGUGCCCUUCGGGGGUAAGAUUUAUCGCCUUUAGAGCGGCCCGCGUCUGAUUCGCUAGUUGGUGAGGUAAAGGCACACCAAGGCGACGAUCAGUAGCUGGUCUGAGAGGAUGAUCAGCCACAUUGGGAAUGAGACACGGCCCAAACUCCGACGGGAGGCAGCAGUGGGGAAUCUUGCGCAAUGGGCGAAAGCCUGACGCAGCCAUGCCGCGUGAAUGAUGAAGGUCUUAGGAUUGUAAAAUUCUUUCACCGGGGACGAUAAUGACGGUACCCGGAGAAGAAGCCCCGGCUAACUUCGUG
This 433-nucleotide ribosomal RNA is filed under the name uncultured bacterium. RNAcentral describes it as "partial 16S ribosomal RNA". It matches the Rfam family "Bacterial small subunit ribosomal RNA", at positions 29 to 507 of the family's 1533-position model. The record is from RNAcentral.